This 253-nucleotide ribosomal RNA is filed under the name uncultured bacterium. RNAcentral describes it as "partial 16S ribosomal RNA". It matches the Rfam family "Bacterial small subunit ribosomal RNA", at positions 524 to 776 of the family's 1533-position model. The record is from RNAcentral.
UACAGGGGGUGCAAACGUUGCUCGGAAUCAUUGGGCGUAAAGCGCACGUAGGCGGUUCGUCAUGUCGGAUGUGAAAGCCCUUGGCUUAACCGAGGAAGUGCAUCCGAAACUGGCGAGCUAGAGUACGAAAGAGGAUCGCGGAAUUCCCGGUGUAGAGGUGAAAUUCGUAGAUAUCGGGAGGAACACCGGUGGCGAAGGCGGCGAUCUGGGUCGAUACUGACGCUGAGGUGCGAAAGCGUGGGGAGCAAACAGG